CUCGGCUCGGCCUGGGCGCACCUUUUCUCCCUCCUGCCACAAUGUGAGCGCUCAGCCGAGCAGAUAACCGCCGGCUGCCUGCUCCACCCCCGGCCCUUGCCCACUCCGCCCACUCCCGAGCGCCCAGAGGAUGCUGACUGCAGGGAUGGAGGAACUUUUUCCACUGCAGAAGAACAAUGUGGUGCCUAUGGGAACAUGCCAUGUGACCAUUCUCCAUUCCUCCCAGCAAGGCACGCUGGGUGAUGUGAAGAACCCAGGAAGGAAAGCUGGAGGAGAGCAUGGUGGGUGGCAGAGCGGGAUUUGGGGAAGCCCUGAGCCCUGCUCCAUCUGACCCUCAGUACAUCUGUCUCCGUCACUGUCUACCUGCCCUGCUCACGCGUGCCCCUCACUCACCCCACGGCAACAGGCCUAUCUUUCCCCCAACAUCAAAAGAGCUAUUUCAGCGACUGUCGCUGUACCUGGCCCAUAGCCUCUAGUCUAUAUAUGUCUGUCAAAUGAAUUGGCUAUAAACAUGAAAAGGUUUCUCCUGAAAAGGUUAAAAAAAAAAAAAAAAA
RNAcentral lists this long non-coding RNA (554 nucleotides) under Mus musculus (house mouse). Its description in RNAcentral is "zinc finger protein 652, opposite strand (Zfp652os)". Lineage: Eukaryota; Metazoa; Chordata; Mammalia; Rodentia; Muridae. The record is from RNAcentral.